Molecule: ribosomal RNA, 532 nt
Filed under: uncultured Bacteroidales bacterium
Lineage: Bacteria; Pseudomonadati; Bacteroidota; Bacteroidia; Bacteroidales
Description: bacterial SSU rRNA
Rfam family: Bacterial small subunit ribosomal RNA
Source: RNAcentral
CCUUCUGAAAGGGAGAUUAAUACAAGAUGUUAUCAUGAGUAAGCAUUUUCGCAUGAUUAAAGGUUUACCGGUGUAAGAUGGGGAUGCGUUCCAUUAGAUAGUAGGCGGGGUAACGGCCCACCUAGCUCUUCGAUGGAUAGGGGUUCUGAGAGGAAGGUCCCCCGCAUUGGAACUGAGACACGGUCCAAACUCCUACGGGAGGCAGCAGUGAGGAAUAUUGGUCAAUGGACGCGAGUCUGAACCAGCCAAGUAGCGUGAAGGAUGACUGCCCUAUGGGUUGUAAACUUCUUUUAUAUGGGAAUAAAGUGGUCCACGUGUGGAUUUUUGUAUGUACCAUAUGAAUAAGGAUCGGCUAACUCCGUGCCAGCAGCCGCGGUAAUACGGAGGAUCCGAGCGUUAUCCGGAUUUAUUGGGUUUAAAGGGAGCGUAGGCGGAUUGUUAAGUCAGUUGUGAAAGUUUGCGGCUCAACCGUAAAAUUGCAGUUGAUACUGGCAGUCUUGAGUGCAGUAGAGGUGGGCGGAAUUCGUGGUGU